This is a long non-coding RNA of Oncorhynchus masou masou (cherry salmon), 1664 nucleotides long. RefSeq lists it as uncharacterized. NCBI's taxonomy places the organism in Eukaryota, Metazoa, Chordata, Actinopteri, Salmoniformes, Salmonidae. The record is from RefSeq and is a predicted model, not a curated record. The transcript has 3 exons.
AAUCACCUCACAUGUGAUUCAGAUAUAUUGAUUCAAAUACAUUCUGAAAGACAGCCUGAAUCACUUUUUUCUACAUUUUUAGGGUCUUUUAGAUUAGGAUUCUCUGUCGUUAAUGUUAAAAAAUAACAACUGCAAGUGAUUGCCGAAUAUUGUGUAGAAGUCUUCCACUCGAAAUCUGAAAUGUCAAGGACAAGAAAAAAUAAAUCAAUUCAACCACAUAUAACUAAGCUCCGUAUUUAGUCACCAUCAAAAAUCCUGUCUUUACCCACUGUCUAUUAACUUUUUACAUAAUUGUCUAAAAAGCUGUCUGUUCUUCUUCAUCCUCCGCCCCAGUGUCCCCUCCUCAGCUGUCCUCUCAGUGUCUGUCCCAUGGAGAGAUGAGGGUGUCCUGCUCCUCUGAGGGUGACGCUCCCCAAUACAGCUGAACUCUGGAUGGACAGAUGCCGAGAGACAGUGAGGACUGUCCUUGUUACGGAAGAAGCACCAUCACUCCGAGGAAAGGCCCGCCUGCAGCUCUUACCUGCACCAUCAGGAACCAGAUCAGAAGUGUUGACAUCGGAAAGACAAUGUCACCUUAUCUAGUGGGGCAAAGAUAUCAGACUGGAUGAUCACCACUGGAUGUCCCCAUCAGCAAGACAAUCAUGCAAACAUCUCAGAUGAAGUCGCUCUCUUUUGCUCCGUCCAGGGUACCAGAGGACGCAAUGGAGGCUUAAUGCAUGGUGACCUCCUAUAAUGCUACACAGAACAUGUCGUGUUACGGAGCUCUGGGAGGAACUGUCUAUCUCCAGCUGAUGAAUGAUGCCACAGGAUCCAAACUCAAAUUCAAAAAAGACCCCACUGGUGCAAGUACAGAGAUAUUCAAAAUAAAACAAAACAAAACAAAAUAAUCCAUGAAUUCAUUAAAGCAAGACCAGAGUUCUUCAUCAAUAACGGGGCAUUUCAAAUAAAUAACAUAGAGAGGAGUGAUCCUGCUGAAUACUGUUUUGAAAUCUUUAAUUCAGAUACUUGGAGACCAGAGGAGUACCACUGAUCAUUGGAGGUCAGGAUCUUAAAAAACUCACAUCUAUUUGCCAAAUAAGAAUAUUCCAAAGAAGCCAAAUGCAAUUUAUAUUGAAAGAUUGAACGUUGUCAUGCAUGAUUUGUGAGGGACUGUGUCAAAUUAAUUAUAAAUCUCUGAACACAUGUUUUUGGGGGGUUAAAUACACCUUUGAAGGCUUACCCACAGUAACCCUCAUGUGUGGUCUACAGCUUAUCAUGAGAUACUCUACCUCAAGUGAGAAAAACCUUGAAACUUCCUUAAUAUUAGAUUUGGGGCACCAGCUGUUGUUUACGAAUACACACAGACCGUCACCUCUUGUCUUACCGGAGGCAGAUGUUCUAUCUUGCCAUUGCAGCGUACAUCCCGCCAGCUGUAUUUUAUCAAUGUCGUCGUUCAGCCAUGACUCGGUGAAACAUUUGCUACUGCAGAUUUUAAUGUCCCGUUGGUAGGAUAUUCGUUAUUGUAGCUCGUCUAUUUUGUUAUCCAAUGAUUGUACUUUGGCAAAUAGGACUGAUACUGGUACUGUUACUGUAACAAAUUAUAUUAUUCAUUUUCCCAUAUUACUGUUUAUAUUUCAUGAAAUUCACUACUGAGGGUACAUUCUUUACCUAAAUAAAUAACCCAA